AAGUUGUGUGUUUGGUGUUUUGUUUUUUUUUUUAAUGACCUAGGUCAAUGGAGAUCUGAUGCUGAAUAAUUCUGUUUGCUGCUGGGGCAGGAAGAGGAGUAUAAAACCCAAAGAUACUAAGCAUCUGUGUGAGGGAUUAUGGUUGAUGAUUGGUCACAUUUAAAGGAUAACAUUAGUGCGUUACUCAUUAGACCUGAAUGGAAAUCAAGGCCAGUAAUAGUACUGGCCUUAUAUGUACUGGCCCCUGAUGAGGCUAUUGCUGAGGUUGACAUCUGUACUUUAACUAAGCUUACAUGAACCAGGCUGAAAAAUGGGUACAUUAUAAGGGCAUGUGAGCCUAUAAGUAAUCAUGCCUACAGCCCAAUAUUCUUUGCUUUAAUGGUUAUACAAAAGCUUCCUCUCCCCUAGAGAGUAUAAGAACUCUGAAAGGCAGAGAAACUUGGUAAGUGCUAGGUUUCAGCCAAGGGCAGGAUAGAGAUGUAUUUGGGAGACUCUUGUGUAGCCUUUCAUUGUGAGACUUUAUAAACUAAGGCUGCAAUUAGUGAUGGGCUGUAAUGAGAUCCUGGACUGUGAUGACAUUUAAUAUCUGUUUCAGAAGAUGUUCCCAGGCUAAAAUCAAUGCUAUGUCCUUCAGACCUCAAAAACAUAGAGUUAUGUAAGUACAUGUAGAUCUUCCUGUGUUGAAGUUGUUGCACUGUCUGUGCUAAAACAGUCUGAGGUAGGAUGAGGUGGAAUGUGGAUUGCAGCUGUUCAUAUUAAGACAGAUUGAGUAAAUAUCCUUGGCUUAGGUUUCUGUUUAGGUUGUGUUGAUCUUCCUCAUCAGGACAAGGUGACUGGCUAGGCUUUUCAUACCCAAGCUUGUGUCUGGAUUUGUCCGUGUGUGCUUGGCUGAACGUGUGAUUAAGACUCACAACCAAUGUAGAGUUAGGGUGUGCAAGGGCCAAUUAUCAGAAAAUACAAAGAAAUAGCUCAUCUAUACUGAGCAGGGAUGACAAACAAGAACAGCUAAAUGACAGCUAAAUACAAGAAAGAAGACAGGCUUGGCAAUCAGUGCAAUCAACAGAAGAAGCUUAUUUGCAGAGGAAAGAAGUGUAAUGGCUUCAGAUCUUCCUUCAAAAAAAGCAUUAUGUGACACUGAUUAUUUGAAAUGCGUUUAUGCAGCGUAUGAUAACCAAAAACUGAAUGUGAAGCAAAAGGAAAACAAAAUACCUCGAAAAAGAAGAGUUGUUUCAUUUACAGUUUUCAUCCUUUCUCACAGGGUUUUGAAAAAUCUCAGUGAGAUCUGUGUGUUUCAAAUCCCGAGCCUCCAGCCCUGGGAUCGGGACUGCACAGCUCCAGCUGCAAUGCUGCAGUCUCUGCAGCCAUCUUGCGGGGAUUCUGGGCAUGUUCACUGCGCAGUGCCUUGCUGCUAACAGCCAGCUUGCAAGCUUUAUUUCCUCACCUCAGCAAAUCGUGGCUGAGUCAGAGUGAACAGAGUCUUGUGGCCUGCUGUUUUUCCCCCUAACCACCCCAGACUUGCUAGCAGGGGUGCACUGCUGCACAGCUCUGGGGCUGCGUGCUAUUUCCAGGCCUCAGCCCUGCACAGGGCCCCGCGAGCUGCCAUGGUCUGAUAGGGAGGAGUGUAGAGCCUGGGGCUGCGGAGCUGAAAGCCUGUGCCGUGAUGAACCCUCAGCUUCAUAGGAAGUUGCAUACAAUGAGUUGUGGCAGAGCUGUUGUCAGAGUCACUGCUGGCUUCCCUAAGGAGCUUUGGAAGGACAACUCUUUAACAGCUUUAACAGUGUCACAGACAGGCUGAAAGGCUGAACAGGCCCUGUCCAUUUUAUGCUUCCAUCAACUAGAUGCCUUCUAUUUUUCCAUUAACUCUGAUUAUACCCUUACUCUUCCUAUCCGGCCAACUCAACCAGCUAAAUUCAACUUGGGGAUGGUGUUUCCUUUCUUUUCAUAACUGCUUUACUCUCCUUCCCUCCGUUCUUUCUUGGCACUUUGUUGUGCAAACCAGCAAAACGAAAGAUACUCGCUUAGUAGAAAUAGCAUUCAUUUCCCUGAGGGUUUUGUGUAUUCAGCUCAUAGGAAGGCAGAGACCAAGCAAGUUUACUUUGGAAACAGAUUUGUAUUGAUCAACACUGUCAAGGCAUGUAGGUGCAGGUUAUUCACUUAAUGAAUUCUUCUCUAAGAAAUAUCAUACAAGGAAUAUCAUUUCUCUUCGUAUUCCUCGAGGGAACGUCCUCAACAUCUCUAGCAAGCUGACCUACUGCUAUUCUUCUUGGCCUCUUCUCCUGGGUAACAGUGAUAGGGUGAGAGGUAAUGGCCUCAAGUUGCACCAGGGGAGGUUCAGGUUGGAUAUUAGGAAGAAUUCCUUCACAGAAAGAGUGGUGCUGCAUUGGCACAGGCUGCCCAGGGAGGUAGUGGGGUCACUGUCCCUGGAGGUGUUCAAGAACUGUGAGAAUGUGACACCGAGCGACAUGGUUUAGUGGGCAGUGUUAGUGGUAGGUGGAAGGUAGGAGUUGAUCUUAGAUGUCUUUUCUAACCAUAAUGAUUCUAUGAUUUGUGAUGGUGUUGUUCUGAUUUCC
RNAcentral lists this long non-coding RNA (2570 nucleotides) under Gallus gallus (chicken). The record is from RNAcentral. Lineage: Eukaryota; Metazoa; Chordata; Aves; Galliformes; Phasianidae.